GCUCCGGUGGCCUAGUGGUUAGAGCGUCCGCCUCGUAUGCGGGAGGUCGUGGGUUCGAUCCCCGGUCGAGUCA
Molecule: non-coding RNA, 73 nt
Organism: Potamilus streckersoni
Lineage: Eukaryota; Metazoa; Mollusca; Bivalvia; Unionida; Unionidae
Source: the annotation of a GenBank genome assembly